UCUACCUUGAGCUACGGGAUAACAGAGAGAAAUUUCUGCUAAUACCGUAUGUGGCCUUUGGGCGAAAGAUUUAUCGGCUUAAGAUGAGCCCGCGUUGGAUUAGCUGGUUGGUGGGGUAAAGGCCUACCAAGGCGACGAUCCAUAGCUGGUCUGAGAGGAUGAUCAGCCACACUGGGACUGAGACACGGCCCAGACUCCUACGGAAGGCAGCAGUGGGGAAUAUUGGACAAUGGGCGCAAGCCUGAUCCAGCCAUGCCGCGUGAGUGAAGAAGGCCUUAGGGUUGUAAAGCUCUUUCACCGGUGAAGAUAAUGACGGUAGCCGGAGAAGAAGCCCCGGCUAACUUCGUGCCAGCAGCCGCGGUAAUACGAAGGGGGCUAGCGUUGUUCGGAUUUACUGGGCGUAAAGCGCGCGUAGGCGGAUAGAUAAGUCAGAGGUGAAAUCCCGGGGCUCAACCCCGGAAUUGCCUUUGAUACUGUUUAUCUUGAGUGCAGAAGAGGUAAGUGGAAUUCCGAGUGUAGAGGUGAAAUUCGUAGAUAUUCGGAGGAACACCAGUGGCGAANGCGGCUUACUGGUCUGCAACUGACGCUGANGCGCGAAAGCGUGGGGAGCAAACAGGANUAGAUACC
This 627-nucleotide ribosomal RNA is filed under the name uncultured Hyphomicrobiales bacterium. RNAcentral's name for it is "bacterial SSU rRNA". It matches the Rfam family "Bacterial small subunit ribosomal RNA", at positions 125 to 786 of the family's 1533-position model. Lineage: Bacteria; Pseudomonadati; Pseudomonadota; Alphaproteobacteria; Hyphomicrobiales. The record is from RNAcentral.